Molecule: ribosomal RNA, 1400 nt
Filed under: Drosophila willistoni
Lineage: Eukaryota; Metazoa; Arthropoda; Insecta; Diptera; Drosophilidae
Description: SSU rRNA
Rfam family: Eukaryotic small subunit ribosomal RNA
Source: RNAcentral
AUUCAGACCUUCCAGAACAAGGCUCUCAGAAUAAUAUCCAAUGCGCAUAUAUACACCACCAACUUAGAGAUCCACGAGGAACUCAACAUGCCCUGGGUUCAGGACGAAAUAGCUAGGCUCAGCAAGGCUCAUCUGGAGCGUCUCGACAGGCACCCCAACCAGCUGGCCACAAAUCUUCUAGACAACAGCACUACCACCCGCCGCCUAAGAAGACUCCAUCCAUUGGACCUACCAGCCCGCGAGGAGUGAUCAGCUCACUGGCUCUCACUACCAACGCCACCCUUCCCCCCACCAACAUAACCCUAAAUAUCCUAACCUUAACGAUGAUUUUGCCUAAACAUCAUAGUCUGUUAUAUUUGUUGUAAAAUUCAAUUCCCCAAAUCACUGUCACGCCCCAUAAUUUACUUAUUGUCCACAAAUCGGACAGAUUGUAAAUAGAAGAUCACCGUUAAAUAAAAAAAAAAAAAAAAAAAAAAAAAAAUAUGUAAUAUUGGUAAAAUUCUUAAAUACAUAUGUCUUAUGCAUUUAUAAUCGGCAAUGUCUAUUUAUUUAUUUAUUAUAAUGAAAUUUGAUGGUAUUUAUAAAAAUUUAUAAACGAUGCCAGCUAGCAAUUGGGUGUAGCUACUUUUAUGGCUCCCUCAGUCGCUUCCCGGGAAACCAAAGCUUUUGGGCUCUGGGGGAAGUAUGGUUGCAAAGCUGAAACUUAAAGGAAUUGACGGAAGGGCACCACCAGGAGUGGAGCCUGCGGCUUAAUUUGACUCAAUACGGGAAAACUUACCAGGUCCGAACAUAAGUGUGUAAGACAGAUUGAUAGCUCUUUCUCGAAUCUAUGGGUGGUGGUGCAUGGCCCUUCUUAGUUCGUGGAGUGAUUUGUCUGGUUAAUUCCGAUAACGAACGAGACUCAAAUAUAUUAAAUAGAUAUCUUCAGGAUUAUGGUGUUGAAGCUUAUAUCCCAUUAUAAGGACACUAGCUUCUUAAAUAGACAAAUUGCGUCUAGCAAUAAUGAGAUUGAGCAAUAACAGGUCUGUGAUGCCCUUAGAUGUCCUGGGCUGCACGCGCGCUACAAUGAAAGUAUCAACGUGUAUUUCCUAGACCGAGAGGUCUAGAGGUUUACCCGGGUAAACCUCUGAACCACUUUCAUGCUUGGGAUUGUGAACUGAAACUGUUCACAUGAACUUGGAAUUCCUAGUAAGUGUGAGUCAUUAACUCGCAUUGAUUACGUCCCUGCCCUUUGUGCACACCGCCCGUCGCUACCACCGAUUGAAUUAUUUAGUGAGGUCUCCGGACGUGAUCACUGUGACGCCUUGCGUGUUACGGUUGUUUCGCAAAAGUUGACCGAACUUGAUUAUUUAGAGGAAGUAAAAGUCGUAACAAGGUUUCCGUAGGUGAACCUGCGGAAG